AGAUUGAACGCUAGCGGGAUGCUUUACACAUGCAAGUCGAACGGCAGCGCGGACUUCGGUCUGGCGGCGAGUGGCGAACGGGUGAGUAAUAUAUCGGAACGUGCCCAGUAGCGGGGGAUAACUACGCGAAAGCGUGGCUAAUACCGCAUACGCCCUACGGGGGAAAGGGGGGGAUCGCAAGACCUCUCACUAUUGGAGCGGCCGAUAUCAGAUUAGCUAGUUGGUGAGGUAAAGGCUCACCAAGGCGACGAUCUGUAGCUGGUUUGAGAGGACGACCAGCCACACUGGGACUGAGACACGGCCCAGACUCCUACGGGAGGCAGCAGUGGGGAAUUUGGACAAGUGGGGGAAACCCUGACUCCAGCCAUCCCGCGUGUGCGAUCGAAGGUCCGUU
Molecule: ribosomal RNA, 394 nt
Filed under: uncultured soil bacterium
Lineage: Bacteria
Description: bacterial SSU rRNA
Rfam family: Bacterial small subunit ribosomal RNA
Source: RNAcentral